UAUUCCGAAGGGCACACCUGUUUGAGUGUCGUGAAAUUCUCAUCCCUCUUCACUUUUUUGGUGAAGCCAGGGCUUGGACUUGGAGGCUUUGCCGGCUCUGCUCGGCUCCUCUCAAAUGCAUUAGUGCGUCUUGUUGCGACGUGCGCCUCGGUGUGAUAAUUAUCUACGCUGUGGUGUGCUUGCUUCUGUGGAGACGCGCUUUCAAACCGUCCGAAAGGACAACUUUCAUCGAACUUUGACCUCAAAUCAGGUGGGACUACCCGCUGAACUUAAGCAUAUCAAUAAGCGGAGGAAAAGAAACUAACAAGGAUUCCCCUAGUAACUGCGAGUGAAGCGGGAAAAGCUCAAAUUUAAAAUCUGGCGGUCUUCUGGCCGUCCGAGUUGUAGUCUGGAGAAGCGUUUUCCGUGC
This 409-nucleotide ribosomal RNA is filed under the name uncultured fungus. RNAcentral describes it as "eukaryotic LSU rRNA". The stretch from base 237 to 409 matches the Rfam family "Eukaryotic large subunit ribosomal RNA", at positions 1 to 170 of the family's 3401-position model. Lineage: Eukaryota; Fungi. The record is from RNAcentral.